GGGUAGGAAUGAUGGGAGUUGUAGUCCAACAACAUCUGGGGACACACAGGUUGAGAAACACUGUGCUAGGGUUUUUUUUAUUAUAAAUUGUUCAGAGAAUAUUUCCUUCGAGAGAAAAUCUGAAACAUGAUCUCCACCACCUGUAGCCUGGGAAAAGGUGCCCCACGCGAUUCUGCUGUGCAUAUAGAUUGGCUCCAAAUCCAACUAGGUCCAGGUGCGCAGCGGAUGAGAUGUAGAGGUAUAAAAAUAGGAUGGGCAUUAUAUGCAGUGGCUGUUAAAAGCCAUAAUUAGAAACUGGCUGUAGCCACUCCAGUGACUCUCAGAAUGUUCUUUAGCCAGGCUACUCUUUCAAGGGAGGGCUAAGGACACUGGGCAUCAUCCAGGAAAUCCCUGAGCAGCAGCUUGGGUGCGCACCCAGGACAUCUCCCUUUUUUCUCAAACAGCAGCUCCUUGCACUGCAUUUUGGUUGAGACUUUAAGGCUCCCCAGAGUUUUGUAGGCAGUUUGGGAGCAUGCGAGAGCUGGCAUCCCCAUCGCCCAUAGAUUUCUGACCACACCGCCCUUCUGGGUUAGGACCAGUGUGCUGUGUAUGGGUCUGUAUCUACUGGCACUCUCAGACAAGAGUAGUUUUGCUCCAGCAGCCAAGUACCUCACUUCUGUGCUUGUCCAAACCACCACUUCGUUGGAGACUCCUGUUGUCAUAGGUAUUGGAUUCUCCACUGAUUUGGCAGUGCAGAGUGUGGAAGCGAGCUUCUUUUCUGCAGGAGUAAAAUCCUGAUCGCGGGAGAGGACCCAUUCGACCUCCCUGGUUUUAGCUGGGAGUGAUUCUAUAUGUGCAUCAAGGUGCAAAGCACAAAAGGGAGCCAAGAACCUUGAAACCAACAGUGACGUUUUUGAGAUGUUAUGUGACACACACACACACAUGCCCAUUUCCCCAUUGGUAUGUUCCUAGUGGUCAUUGUCUCCUGGCAAGGGUCUUCCACUCCUCAACUUGUACUUGAAUUUACUGUGGUAACUUCUGACUAUAGAAAAUGGCAUUGGAAUUGAGGGGGAGACAAUUCUGUUUUCAGUUGCUUGUACCACUUAAAUUUGGGGGGGGGGCAGAGGAGGAGGAGGAGGAAGGAACAAGGGUUGGAGAUAUUGCAUUUCAUGCACUCCUGGCCUUCAUCGUGCCUGGCUGCACCAUUUAUUUAUUUAUUUAUUUUGCAGUUUCCAGCCCUAAGGGUCUAUUUACACUACAGCUGCAAAUCGUUCUUUUUGCCAGUCUAACUGGCAUGGCUUCCCUCUGAAAACGAGCGCUGGGAAUUGUUGUUUGGUGAGGGUGCAGCGAAGUCUCCAUUCGGGGUUUCCGUUCCACAUGGCCUCUCACCACAGAAAUCCCCUUAGAUGAAGGAAUGGCUGUAAAACCAGACUGUGUAGUGUAAAGUUACCCUCUAAAUAUUUCAGCUACAGGAAAUGAGCACUUUUUGUGUAGCAUUUGGUUUCUGUGCAGGAGCGUUUUGGUUCCUGCGUGUUGUGAGAGUAAGGCCUGGCUCACACAUAAUACUAAGCCAUGGUUUUGUUAAGCUGCUGUUUGCUCAACCAACGAUAGGUUAACCUCGACUUUCACAGAUGAUCAGACAGACCAUGGCUUGUUCCUCCAAAGCUACUUUACAGUUGCUCUUGCCUCAUGUCUGUGUUAUUUGUUGAACAUCUAAGUUGGAGCACCAAAACAAACCAUGGUUCAGGAAAGGUGCUGGCUUCACAUAUAACACCAAGCCAUGCCAAGGUUUAUAAACCAGGAACAAGCCAUGGCUUCAAGGUGUGGUUUUGGGCAGAAAGCUGGUCACAGUGAAGCUGCUGGACAGGGUUCACACAUGACGCUAAACCAUGGUUUGCUAAACCAUGGCUCAUCGUUACGUGCCAGCCAGACCCAGUUGUCUCACUGGUUGUCAAAGUUACAGCUCCCUUCUGUUUAAGACCAUGGGAGCUAUUGGGAACCUGGAAGAACAAAGUUUCACAUAUAAAUGGGAUACAGAAGAAUAGAGAGACGGCUAUAGCAACACAUUCUUGUGUGUGGUGCCAGAGAGCUCCGAGGUUACUGCACCAUAAAUCUCAUCCCAUCACCGGACUGAUAUCAGUUGAGAGAAGGAAUAGAGAGUGACUGAGUGAAGCAUACUUUCAGGAUGCACAAAACCCUUCUGAUUCUACCAGAAGUAAACUGUUCUGCAGCUUGGAAGCUUGCUAUUCUCUCCUAUAGUACUGUACACAAUUCAGGCUGCUGUUUUACGGACACUUCAGAAGGAGUAAGCCCCAUUGAACGCAGCGAAACUUAUUAUAGGAUUGUGCUGGUGGUCAAGUAAAAGGUAAAUGUUCAGAAUAGCUUUGAAACCUGUAGAUCUUUGGAGCGCAGUCCACAGAAGUUAUAUUACUUUUGCCACCAACUUGAGUGUGGAACCCCUAGAGAUUUAGUGUCAUUCUUUCAGACUUUGACAUCACAUUUCUACAUCUUGGUUAUAACGUUGUGGCUACAAACCUUUUAUUUAUCCCCACACUUCACUUCAAACUCCACAGAAGGGCUAAUUGUGGAGCCUUUUGGACAGUCGUACUAAAUUAAAUUGUAGAAGGAACCAGCCCUACUCUUUCUUCAACUGCUGCUCUGGGGGUACACACUGGACCCAGUGACUGAUAAGGUUCCCAUCCCAGGCACUAAGUCCAUGCGUGCAUUGCAUGAAGCAUCUAAGGAAACAUGGGAGCCAGGAUGGAGGCCCUGUCACCCUCAAAAGGUGGAGUACAUCCUGUCACAGUCCAAAUGGUCACUCCUACUCUGAAACCGAACUUUUUUGAUCACUCAUUGCUGUUGCGCAAAGGUACGCGGCUUUCACCACAGAGGUAGAAGGGAUAGAGGAGUGUCAUUCUGUGCACAUUAAGACUCCUGGCCCAGUGGCAGUGGCUUGUAGUUUAAAAUGGGGCGCUCAGGCUAUGAAUGUGUGGUUCAAGUCUUUUUCUAGAUCUUUAAGAGCCACCAGGAGCGGCAAGAGCCGAGAAGGCAAAAGGGAAGGAGGAAAGGUGGCUUUGAUCGGGCCAGUCAGAGAGGCAUGAUUGGCCUCACUGAGGACUACAGCCUUAGGAAGGCGUGCUGCUUAGACCAACUUCACAGCCAAACUCUGCAAAGAGAUUUUUUCUUUUUUGCUCAGGGCUAAUGUUGAGUGAAACUUUUAAAGAGCCAGAGAUAACUUUGUCCCAGACCUAGAAUGUGAACGUACUGACCACUCAUGUCUGUCUGUCUGUCCUUUUCUGUCUCAUUUCUGCGGUUCCUCCCCGAUACAAUACAUGCAUUCACAUUAUUUCUCGGAAACAAGAUGCACUUUCAGAUACUUUUUUUGUUGUUAUUUGUUGUUGUUAUUAUUAUUUGUUCGUUGUAAAACUCUUAUUAUAAAAAGUCUGUACUUGCUUUGGAGGAAUGACUUAUUAAAACGAAAACACAGCCACUUUAUUUUGAAAUGAAGUAGAUCAACACAGUGGAACAAACAGGAAUUUUUCAAGAGAGAGAGAAGAAAACAUUUCAAAUUGUUGAAUGAUUCCCCCCCUCCCCCCGGAAUAUGAAAAGUAAAACCAUGAGAUUCCUUAUUAUAAAAUUAUAGGAUUUUACAGUUUUAUGAGGCUUUCUAUUGUGACUUUUAUGGAAUCAAGAAAUGAAGAAGAUGAGAUAUUUUAGCAUUUAUAUUUUUCAAAAUUAAAUGUAUACUGAAAAUAAAGUAACUUUAUGCAUUU
Molecule: long non-coding RNA, 3752 nt
Filed under: Podarcis lilfordi (Lilford's wall lizard)
Lineage: Eukaryota; Metazoa; Chordata; Lepidosauria; Squamata; Lacertidae
Source: RNAcentral